This 2926-nucleotide ribosomal RNA is filed under the name Salmonella enterica. RNAcentral's name for it is "bacterial LSU rRNA". It matches the Rfam family "Bacterial large subunit ribosomal RNA". The record is from RNAcentral. Lineage: Bacteria; Pseudomonadati; Pseudomonadota; Gammaproteobacteria; Enterobacterales; Enterobacteriaceae.
GGGUUGUGAGGUUAAGCGACUAAGCGUACACGGUGGAUGCCCUGGCAGUCAGAGGCGAUGAAGGGCGUGCUAAUCUGCGAUAAGCGCCGGUAAGGUGAUAUGAACCGUUAUAACCGGCGAUACCCGAAUGGGGAAACCCAGUGUGAUUCGUCACACUAUCAUUAACUGAAUCCAUAGGUUAAUGAGGCGAACCGGGGGAACUGAAACAUCUAAGUACCCCGAGGAAAAGAAAUCAACCGAGAUUCCCCCAGUAGCGGCGAGCGAACGGGGAGGAGCCCAGAGCCUGAAUCAGCAUGUGUGUUAGUGGAAGCGUCUGGAAAGGCGCGCGAUACAGGGUGACAGCCCCGUACACAAAAGCGCAUGUGCUGUGAGCUCGAUGAGUAGGGCGGGACACGUGGUAUCCUGUCUGAAUAUGGGGGGACCAUCCUCCAAGGCUAAAUACUCCUGACUGACCGAUAGUGAACCAGUACCGUGAGGGAAAGGCGAAAAGAACCCCGGCGAGGGGAGUGAAAAAGAACCUGAAACCGUGUACGUACAAGCAGUGGGAGCACCCUUUUGGGUGUGACUGCGUACCUUUUGUAUAAUGGGUCAGCGACUUAUAUUCUGUAGCAAGGUUAACCGUAUAGGGGAGCCGUAGGGAAACCGAGUCUUAACCGGGCGUUAAGUUGCAGGGUAUAGACCCGAAACCCGGUGAUCUAGCCAUGGGCAGGUUGAAGGUUGGGUAACACUAACUGGAGGACCGAACCGACUAAUGUUGAAAAAUUAGCGGAUGACCUGUGGCUGGGGGUGAAAGGCCAAUCAAACCGGGAGAUAGCUGGUUCUCCCCGAAAGCUAUUUAGGUAGCGCCUCGUGAAUUCAUCUCCGGGGGUAGAGCACUGUUUCGGCUAGGGGGCCAUCCCGGCUUACCAACCCGAUGCAAACUGCGAAUACCGGAGAAUGUUAUCACGGGAGACACACGGCGGGUGCUAACGUCCGUCGUGAAGAGGGAAACAACCCAGACCGCCAGCUAAGGUCCCAAAGUCAUGGUUAAGUGGGAAACGAUGUGGGAAGGCCCAGACAGCCAGGAUGUUGGCUUAGAAGCAGCCAUCAUUUAAAGAAAGCGUAAUAGCUCACUGGUCGAGUCGGCCUGCGCGGAAGAUGUAACGGGGCUAAACCAUGCACCGAAGCUGCGGCAGCGACACUGUGUGUUGUUGGGUAGGGGAGCGUUCUGUAAGCCUGUGAAGGUGUGUCGUGAGGCAUGCUGGAGGUAUCAGAAGUGCGAAUGCUGACAUAAGUAACGAUAAAGCGGGUGAAAAGCCCGCUCGCCGGAAGACCAAGGGUUCCUGUCCAACGUUAAUCGGGGCAGGGUGAGUCGACCCCUAAGGCGAGGCCGAAAGGCGUAGUCGAUGGGAAACGGGUUAAUAUUCCCGUACUUGGUGUUACUGCGAAGGGGGGACGGAGAAGGCUAUGUUGGCCGGGCGACGGUUGUCCCGGUUUAAGCGUGUAGGUGUGUGUUCCAGGUAAAUCCGGUUCACUUUAACACUGAGGCGUGACGACGAGGCACUACGGUGCUGAAGCAACAAAUGCCCUGCUUCCAGGAAAAGCCUCUAAGCAUCAGGUAACAUCAAAUCGUACCCCAAACCGACACAGGUGGUCAGGUAGAGAAUACCAAGGCGCUUGAGAGAACUCGGGUGAAGGAACUAGGCAAAAUGGUGCCGUAACUUCGGGAGAAGGCACGCUGACACGUAGGUGAAGUGAUUUACUCACGGAGCUGAAGUCAGUCGAAGAUACCAGCUGGCUGCAACUGUUUAUUAAAAACACAGCACUGUGCAAACACGAAAGUGGACGUAUACGGUGUGACGCCUGCCCGGUGCCGGAAGGUUAAUUGAUGGGGUCAGCGCAAGCGAAGCUCCUGAUCGAAGCCCCGGUAAACGGCGGCCGUAACUAUAACGGUCCUAAGGUAGCGAAAUUCCUUGUCGGGUAAGUUCCGACCUGCACGAAUGGCGUAAUGAUGGCCAGGCUGUCUCCACCCGAGACUCAGUGAAAUUGAACUCGCUGUGAAGAUGCAGUGUACCCGCGGCAAGACGGAAAGACCCCGUGAACCUUUACUAUAGCUUGACACUGAACAUUGAGCCUUGAUGUGUAGGAUAGGUGGGAGGCUUUGAAGCGUGGACGCCAGUCUGCGUGGAGCCGACCUUGAAAUACCACCCUUUAAUGUUUGAUGUUCUAACGUGGACCCGUUACCCGGGUUGCGGACAGUGUCUGGUGGGUAGUUUGACUGGGGCGGUCUCCUCCUAAAGAGUAACGGAGGAGCACGAAGGUUGGCUAAUCCUGGUCGGACAUCAGGAGGUUAGUGCAAUGGCAUAAGCCAGCUUGACUGCGAGCGUGACGGCGCGAGCAGGUGCGAAAGCAGGUCAUAGUGAUCCGGUGGUUCUGAAUGGAAGGGCCAUCGCUCAACGGAUAAAAGGUACUCCGGGGAUAACAGGCUGAUACCGCCCAAGAGUUCAUAUCGACGGCGGUGUUUGGCACCUCGAUGUCGGCUCAUCACAUCCUGGGGCUGAAGUAGGUCCCAAGGGUAUGGCUGUUCGCCAUUUAAAGUGGUACGCGAGCUGGGUUUAGAACGUCGUGAGACAGUUCGGUCCCUAUCUGCCGUGGGCGCUGGAGAACUGAGGGGGGCUGCUCCUAGUACGAGAGGACCGGAGUGGACGCAUCACUGGUGUUCGGGUUGUCAUGCCAAUGGCACUGCCCGGUAGCUAAAUGCGGAAGAGAUAAGUGCUGAAAGCAUCUAAGCACGAAACUUGCCCCGAGAUGAGUUCUCCCUGAGACUUAGAGUCUCCUGAAGGAACGUUGAAGACGACGACGUUGAUAGGCCGGGUGUGUAAGCGCAGCGAUGCGUUGAGCUAACCGGUACUAAUGAACCGUGAGGCUUAACCUUACAACGCCGAAG